This 178-nucleotide long non-coding RNA is filed under the name Numida meleagris (helmeted guineafowl). RNAcentral describes it as "lncRNA (ENSNMEG00000019189.1)". Lineage: Eukaryota; Metazoa; Chordata; Aves; Galliformes; Numididae. The record is from RNAcentral.
GCCACUGGAAUCUAAAUCAACCUGGAUUUCAGGAACCUCAGGUGACAGUGCACUUAAUUCUAUACAGCUCUAUGAAAGAUGAACAUUCUCUGAUUUACUUUAACUGAAGGAGUCCUGACCACAACUUUGCACUAAAGGUAAGAUACUAAGAGGCAAAAUCAGCUAGGACACUGAUGCA